UACGUAGGGUCCGAGCGUUGUCCGGAAUUACUGGGCGUAAAGAGCUCGUAGGCGGCUUGUCACGUCGAUUGUGAAAGCCCGAGGCUUAACCUCGGGUCUGCAGUCGAUACGGGCUAGCUAGAGUGUGGUAGGGGAGAUCGGAAUUCCUGGUGUAGCGGUGAAAUGCGCAGAUAUCAGGAGGAACACCGGUGGCGAAGGCGGAUCUCUGGGCCAUUACUGACGCUGAGGAGCGAAAGCGUGGGGAGCGAACAGG
Molecule: ribosomal RNA, 253 nt
Filed under: uncultured bacterium
Lineage: Bacteria
Description: partial 16S ribosomal RNA
Rfam family: Bacterial small subunit ribosomal RNA
Source: RNAcentral